CACGCCAAGGGAGGGGAAGGAGAAUAUUCAUCCUCUUUUCCCAUUUGGUGUCACAUGCAAUUAUUUGGGGCCCAAAGCAGGUCAGCUUAUAUCCAGGCAUAAAACAAAAAUUGCAUUGCCUUCCUAUGGAUACAAAGAGGUUCGGCUGAUGGCAGCAAGAGUUGGGAAGGCUUGGCUUACAGAGCAUUAGCUUAUCCAAGCAGAACGUUCUCCGUUCCAAUAACAGAAGCCAGGAGGAAUAAGAAACUGAUCAUUACAAAGGUUGGACAAAUCAGAAAAGGCUUUAUGGACAAGAUGAAAUUGACUUGGGCUUGACAGAUAAAAAGGAUAAAGAAGUUUAGAGAGUAUUUCAGGGAAAGGUAACAUUUG
RNAcentral lists this long non-coding RNA (369 nucleotides) under Pan troglodytes (chimpanzee). Its description in RNAcentral is "long non-coding RNA NONPTRT016612". Lineage: Eukaryota; Metazoa; Chordata; Mammalia; Primates; Hominidae. The record is from RNAcentral.